GCGGAGGGAUCAUUAAAGAGUUCUAUAACUCCCAAACCCAUGUGAACAUACCUAACGUUGCCUCGGCAGGUCGCACCUACCUUGUAGCACCCUACCCUGUAGGGCCUACCCGGGAGGUGCGGGUAAGCCUGCCGGCGGCCCACCAAACUCUGUUUGAUAUUGAAUUCUGAACCUAUAACUAAAUAAGUUAAAACUUUCAACAACGGAUCUCUUGGUUCUGGCAUCGAUGAAGAACGCAGCGAAAUGCGAUAAGUAAUGUGAAUUGCAGAAUUCAGUGAAUCAUCGAAUCUUUGAACGCAUAUUGCGCCCAUUAGUAUUCUAGUGGGCAGGACCGUUCGAGCGUCAUUUCAACCCUUAAGCCUUCGUUGCUUAGUGUUGGGAGCCUACGGCAACGUAGCUCCUCAAAGUUAGUGGCGGAGUUGGUUCACACUCUAGACGUAGUAAUUUUUUAUCUCGCCUAUUAGUUGGACUAAUCCCCUGCCGUAAAACCCCCAAUUUAUCAAGGUUGACCUCGAAUCGGUUCAGACAAACUCGCUAAAUUGAAGCAUCUUAGUCAGCGAAGGAAAAGAAACCAACAGGGAUUGCCCUAGUAACGGCGAGUGAAGCGGCAACAGCUCAAAUUUGAAAUCUGGCCCUCGGGUCCGAGUUGUAAUUUGUAGAGGAUGCUUUUGGCGCGGUGCCUUCCGAGUUCCCUGGAACGGGACGCCUUAGAGGGUGAGAGCCCCGUACGGUUGGACACCAAGCCUCUGUAAAGCUCCUUCGACGAGUCGAGUAGCUUGGGAAUGCUGCUCUAAA
RNAcentral lists this ribosomal RNA (795 nucleotides) under fungal endophyte. Its description in RNAcentral is "eukaryotic LSU rRNA". The stretch from base 507 to 795 matches the Rfam family "Eukaryotic large subunit ribosomal RNA", at positions 1 to 292 of the family's 3401-position model. Lineage: Eukaryota; Fungi. The record is from RNAcentral.